Molecule: ribosomal RNA, 644 nt
Filed under: uncultured Actinomycetes bacterium
Lineage: Bacteria; Bacillati; Actinomycetota; Actinomycetes
Description: bacterial SSU rRNA
Rfam family: Bacterial small subunit ribosomal RNA
Source: RNAcentral
CGCGGCCUAUCAGCUUGUUGGUGGGGUGAUGGCCUACCAAGGCGACGACGGGUAGCCGGCCUGAGAGGGUGUCCGGCCACACUGGGACUGAGAUACGGCCCAGACUCCUACGGGAGGCAGCAGUGGGGAAUAUUGCACAAUGGGCGCAAGCCUGAUGCAGCGACGCCGCGUGGGGGAUGACGGCCUUCGGGUUGUAAACCUCUUUCAGCAGGGACGAAGGGUGACUGACGGUACCUGUAGAAGAAGCACCGGCCAACUACGUGCCAGCAGCCGCGGUAAUACGUAGGGUGCGAGCGUUGUCCGGAAUUACUGGGCGUAAAGAGCUCCUAGGUGGUUUGUCGCGUUGUUCGUGAAAACUCACAGCUUAACUGUGGGCGUGCGGGCGAUACGGGCAGACUGGAGUACUGCAGGGGAGACUGGAAUUCCUGGUGCAGCGGUGGAAUGCGCAGAUAUCAGGAGGAACACCGGUGGCGAAGGCGGGUCUCUGGGCAGUAACUGACGCUGAGGAGCGAAAGCGUGGGGAGCGAACAGGAUUAGAUACCCUGGUAGUCCACGCCGUAAACGGUGGGUACUAGGUGUGGGUUUCCUUCCUUGGGAUCCGUGCCGUAGCUAACGCAUUAAGUGCCCCGCCUGGGGAGUACGGA